Long non-coding RNA from Brassica rapa (field mustard), 8366 nucleotides. RefSeq lists it as uncharacterized. Lineage: Eukaryota; Viridiplantae; Streptophyta; Magnoliopsida; Brassicales; Brassicaceae. The record is from RefSeq and is a predicted model, not a curated record.
CGGAUUCGAAUCAACGAAAUCGUUGAAUCGUCGGUUCCAAAAAAGAAGGGACGUUUGGUCGGUUUGGGUCGUCGCUCCCGCUCGGCUGCUCCUUUUUCUGCACCACCGCCCUUUGUUGAUCAGAAGUACUUACGGCUCAGUUGAAGGACAAGGAUGAUCGCAUAUCUUUGUUGGAGAACCAGAUGGCGGCUCAACAGGCGGGCUAUGAGGCACAGAAGAGACUGAACGAGCAAAUGAUGGAGAUGAUAAAGAUGAUGUACCCGAACGAGGUGUUCCCGAACGUGCAAGACCCGUAGUUUUUUUUUUUUUUCAAAAACUCAGAAUGUUUUAUUUUUAUUUGUACAACUUUGAAUAUUAUCUAAUAUGUUUUCAAUUUUAAUUUUAAUUUUAUAUUUUUGAAUUAAAAUUCAAAAAUUUUAAUUUAAAAAAAUAUAUUUUUUUCGAAAUUCCGAGGAAAUGGACCCUCGAAAAUUUCCGACGAACAUUUCCUCGGAAUAAGUCGUCGAAAUAUACCGAGAGACUAUUCCUCGGAAUUAUCCGAGGGCCACGUUCCUCGGAAAUUCCCGAUGAAAAUUCCGAGGAACGUUUCGUCGGAACUUCCAAGGAUUGGACCAUAGGAAAGUCCAUCAAAAUAUUCCGAGGAAGUCCUCCCUCAGUAUAUUCCGAGGACUUUUCCGACGAACUGGUGGUCCUCGGAGUUUCCUCGGAAUUCCGUCGAAAAUUUUCGAGGGAUUUCCGAGGAAAAAUGAAUUUCCGAAGAGUUUUUUCCGAGGAUUUUUUUUGUCGGUAUGUCGUCGGAAUAACACUAUUCCGACGACAUACCGACGAUUUUUUGCCUCGGUAUGCCGCUGUUUUCUUGUAGUGUUACAUUUAUAAUGGAUUUGAUGAUGACAAAUUCAAUUUGAAGACAUAAAUCAGAUAGAAAAAUAGAGACACAGCUAUUUAGAUAACUUCUAAACCUUUUUUCUUUUGAGUAAAAUUGUGAUCGAUAGAAUGAUUAUAACUUCUAAUCUAGAGAUAGAGAAAGACAGGCGGUUGCAUGUGACACCUCAUAUUUUCGAUCAUUUUAGUGUUAUGAGUUGUAUUUAAGCGUUAUUUAUAUGCAUUAAGUGUUAGGGUCAUGGUUAAAAAUUUUGAGACCACUCUAAGAAUAAAAUUACACAAUUAGAAAGUGUUGCGCCAAGUAACAGUUUUCUAAAAGAAGAAGAACUUAAUAUGGAAAAAGAAAGAAUACACAUGACACGUUUCAGCAAAUCUUCCUUCCACAUGUCAUACGAAGAGGAAAUUUUUUACUAUAUAUAUAUAUAGAUAGAUGUUUUUGACCAAAAAAUAUUUACUAAAUAUAUAUAUAUAUAUAUAUAUAUAUCAAUUUAUUUCUCAGUUUUAAAUGUUUUUUUAUUACCGCACAAACUGUCAAAAAAUAGUUUGAAGUGUAAUGAAGAAGCAAUUGUUUCAAAUAAUUACACCAAUCUCUCAAACUAAUCAAUAAUUUUUUUUGUCAGCAAUAAUAUUUAUAUCGAUAAACACUCUUUCUCUGAAAUUCUCAUUAGGAGAAUUUACCAACAAUGACCUAAACUUGAUUUUAAAUGCAAAAGUAUACUCCAACUUCAGUCAAAUGCAAAUUUAACCCAAAAUACUAAUGAAAUUACAACUAGCCCCUUAUGACAAAAAAAAAACAGUAUGCAUUUUUACGAAUACAACUCCGGGAGGUUUUUUUUGGUUUUGUAAAUCUUAGACUUCCUAGAAGUCUUCUCAUGUGUUAAAUCUUAAAAAAAUUUUUAUCAAUUUUAUAAAAAAAAUUAUAGAAGAAAAUUGAAAUUAUGUAACUAUAACCAAUUGUAAAUGAUAGAAAUUAAUAUCUAGUAAAAUUGAAUUGCUUUCAAAAUAGAUGAGUGAUUGUAGAUUGAGUCAUGAAUGAUAUUCUGUGGUUUAGGAUUUGGUAACAUAUGUUAUAGUAUUGUAUGUAAUUUUUGGAUUAUAUUAUGGAAUCUUAUAUUUUUUUUAAAUUUUUUUUAACAUAUAUGUGUUUAGGUUUAAUGAACUUUUUCUUUCUGCGAAGUUAUUUAUUUGAUUUUAGGGUUUAUGUGACUUAAGUUUUCUAAAAAUAAUGCACUAGCAGAUUUCAGGGAAAGUCUUAUGGGCGAAAAGUAAAUUUAGGGUCUAGAAGACUUCUCUGAAAGUCUGGAAGUCUUCUGAAUCGAAAAUAUUUAACCUUAUUGGAAUUUUUGUCUCUCUAUAUAAAAAAAUUUACACAUUAUUUUUGUUCCUCUCAAAUGGCUGUAACAAUAAUGUAAUGUUUCUCACUCCAAAACUCUUCAACCUCUCUCUAAUAUUUUGGAACUUGAAAACACCAAACUUUCUAUCAAUUUCUCAUUUUCGUCUCAUGUGUUUUCUCACUGAUUUAUCUUGUUUUGCAAGUUUUCCAUUACAUAGUUCUCAUCUUCCGCUCCUUUAAAGAUAUAUCCAUAAAUCAUUUUUCUUCAUUUGGUAACCUCUUGUUGUUUAAAUCUCUUACUUUUUGAAUACUUUUUUUGUUUCUUAAGACUCUUACCUUAUUUGUUAAGCUUUUCUCUGUUGUGAAGUCAUUUAAAUGCUUUUGGAUAUAAAGAUUGUUCAGAUCUGAGUCAGACUUUGGAAGUCAUGGAGUCUUUUUCCAUGUAUCCUCUUUUAUAACAGAUCUGACUGUUUUGAUAAGUCUCCAUGUCUGAUUUUCUUCAUUUGGUAACCUCAUGUUGCUUGAAUCUCUUACCUUUUGAAAACCAUUUUUGUUUCUUAAAGCUCUUAUCUUAUUUGAGAAGAUUUUUUCUAUUUUGAAUUCAUUUGAAUGCUUUUGGAUACGCAUGUUUUUCAUAUCUGAGUCAGACUUUAGAAAACUUUUGAGAUGUCUUCUCGGAAGUUUUUUAACGUAUAAUGCAUUAGAAAUGACUUAUGUCGGAGUGCUCUCCCAUGUCUCAUGUGCAUAACAUAUCUGAGCGUUUGGUUAGUCUCAAUGUCUAAUUUUUCUUCAUUUGGUAGUAUCUUUUGCUUAAAGCUCUAAUAUUUUGAAAUAUUUUUGUUGCUUAAAGCUCUUACCCUAUUUUUGAAGUUUUUUUCUGUUUUGGAGUCAUAUGAAUAUGCAGGUUUUCUAGAUCCGAGUUAGACUUAAAUCUUCUCAGAAGUCUUCUAACAUAAAAUGCAAUAGAAGACUUCCUGAAAGUCUUCUAGCGGAGUCUUCUCCCAUGUCUCCUCUUUCAUAAUAGAUCUGGAAGUCUUCCAAGAUGUUAUUCAAGAACAUGAACAUCAGGACGAUCAAAGUUUAUGAUGGUAUGUCAAGUGGAGUCCAAGCUUAUCUAUGUGGAGGAGUGAUCUCGAACUCCAAUGUAAUAUUUUUUUUAUGGUUUGUUUUCUGAUUUGCAUGUGUACUCUUUAAGUUGUGGAUUCUUUGGUAAAUUUGAAGAGAUGUUAAUAAAAAUAAUUUGGUAGAUAUGUUCACGUCUACAAUAUAAACUUGCCAAAAUUACUUGACAUUAUUGAAGUUAUUGAUAUGAAUUCUAUAGCAAAACACAAUAACACAAAAAUUUAGUCAAAUUUACUAAACCUAAGGGAAUAAGACUUCUAAAAAAAAACAUAGUCAAACUCACAAAAAUUCAAACAUUACAUAAGUUCAAACAUAUAAGACUUUCACUAAAAAAUUUUGAAAGCCUUCUAGAGUCUUCUUAGAAGACUUCUUGGAAGACUUAAAUUUUAAAGGAGGAAUUUUAAACGGAAUUUAAAAUAUAUGCAGGAAAAUAAAAUUCAAGCGGAAUACUUAAAUUUUAAGUGAAAACUGAUAUUUUAAAUCACAUGAAAGUUAAAAAAAAAAGAAGUAUAACUUACUAUCUAAGAAAACUUACUAUCUAAGAAAACACAUUAAACCCCAUGACUAAAUAUUCUUGAAAUUACUUAACACUUUUGAAAUCUAAAAAUAUAUCUUGAAGUUACUUAACACGGAAAAAAAUAUAUUGGUAACCUCAUAAUUAUCACAAACUAAGUUAUUAAUUUCAUUCAGUAACCCAAAAAUUGACUAAUACACAUGAAUUAACAAAAGAAUAUUAAAAAGUCGUUUUAAGUUUAGAGAAAAUAAAAGUUUAUUAAACAUUGACCUAGAAUACAAAUUUACAAAAGAAGACUUCCAGAGAACUCCGCAGCAAACUUCUAUAGAAGUAUUCCCUUGUAAAUAUUGGCUUGUUUUUAUUUUUGAAAAGUUAUCAAAAAUAGAAGAGAGGACUAACAUGGAAGUCCUCUUGGAUAAACAGUUUAGUUUUUUAAUUGACCGAAUUGUGUCAAAUUUUUUAACUUCUAUAAAAUACUUCCUGAUAAAAAACUUCCCGGGAAGUCUUCCGUUGGAAUACUCUUGGAAAGACUAGUCUUCCGACGUAAGACUUCUGGGAAAUCUUCUCAACUGUCAGUGGAAGUCUUCUUACUCUCGGUGAAAGUCUAUCUAGGUUAGUUUUGCAAUUGACAAUUCAAAUUAAAUAUUUAAUUUUAAUUGGAAUUACGGAAUAGAAAGAUAAAAGACUUUGAGGGAAGUCUUCUAACUAAAAUUAAAUAGUUAACUUUUAAUAGUCAAUCGCAAAACUAACCUACGCAGUGUUCCACCGACAGUGAGAAGAAUUCCAUGGAAGUUGAGAAGACUUCAUAAGAGUCUUCUGACGGAAGACUUUCCUAGAGGUCUUCUAUAGAAACUCAAAUUUCUGACACAAUUCUGUCACUUGCAAAACUAACAUGUUUAUCCGAGAAGAUUUCUAGGGAAGUCUUCUCAUAUUUUUUUGUUAACAAAAAAAAGUUGAAGGACUUCCAGCAAACUUGUCUCUAAGAAACACAUAAAGAAAUUCAAUUGUAAAACUAACCUAUGCAUUGACCAUAAGACUUCCGUAAAUGUUUUGUCUGGAGAAGUCUUCUUCACAAAAACCGAUCUUAAAAAAAAUUCAAAGAUCAUUCUUUGAUCUGGUGAGCUUCAUGUUUACCUUAUCCAUGCACACAUAUAAUUUCUUAAUAAAAGUUACCCACUCGUUCUCGACCAAGAAUCAUGAGCUUGAAUGGCUCUAUCAACCUUAUCAAGUUUGGAAUAAAAAUCACUGGAUUUUUUUGGAUGAAUAUAGAGAGAAUUUUGAAACAAAUGUAAUUUGUAUGGAUAAGAAAUGAGAUAAGAGGAGAAGAGCUUCAAAUUUGUUAUUCAUGGGGGUUAGUGUAUUGAUGGCAAUGACAAUAUUGUAAAUACUUGAUGAAAGUAGGGAUGAUAGAGAAAAACUCUCAUUUUAGAAAACAAAAUUAAAAAAUUGCAUUUCGUGAAUAAUCCAAAAUUUAAAGGUGAAUAAGACAAAUGAAAGUUCUAAAAAAAAGGGUUACAUUUGCAUUUUACUUUUUUGGGUCAUAUUUGAUAAAAAAAUACUUAUUAUAUUAUUGCUCAACCAGCUAAUCUUUUUUCAGCUGCAAAAAGAACAUAGUGAAUAUACAAUAGAUAAUUUAUAGACUAUUAAAAUGUACUAAUAAUUUUGUUAUAUUUUACUAUUUUAGGCUGAGUUUUUGUUCAUAUAAAAAAAGAAAAAUACUUUAUUCUCAUUAUCAUAAGCUGAUAAAUUAUGAUAAAUGGUAAACAAUUUUCUAAUAUUAAUUACUUUUCUGAGAUUAAUUAUAGAUAGUUUGAAUAAAUAAUUGUUUAUUAAUAUUAUGAUAUAUUUAAAAGAAAUACCUAAUAUAAAAAAUUUGAAAAUUGCGGAAAGAAAAUUAGUAUUUUGGGAAGAACAUCAGUAAAGAACAUCAUGCGCUAGUGGAAAAAUACAAAGGUUACAAAUCGACUCUUUUUUUUCUUUGUGGCACAAUGGCCUAGUAGUUCCUCUUAAUAGAAGCAGUUGCAGGGUUCAAACCCCGCUUGGUGAGAUGAUAGCAGAGGUGGUGCGACCACUGAUCCACUUGCUCCUCUUAGUUACAAACCGAUUCAAAUGAAUAGAUAAUAUUAUAUAGAUAUAUCCUGGGAAAAAAAUAGACACAUUUUCAAGACAUGGCUGGCACAAGAGGAAGAAGCAGGGGUUUGGAUGCGAACAAAGUGUUUUCACCCUACUAUGUGCUCGGUUUGAGAACUCGGUACAAUAUUACUAAGUCUUGAAAACAAACAAACGGCCUAUGAGGAUUCAACGCCCAUGCCGAGCUCAAGGAACGGUCCAUGUUAGGCUGACAUAUUUAAACCAUAAAUAAGGUCAAAGCAUUAAAGGCGACUAUAAAAGCACUUGAUACUCUCCGGAGAUCAGUAGCCGUUACUUUCCAUUUUUGGAGACCUAUAAAAGAAAUCUUAAGGACAAGAACAAGAGGAACAUAUUUCCUUAAUGAAUCUAUACUUUCAAUACUCGCCCAGCAGCCCGAAACAUAGCAGCUCGGCUGCUCAGCCAAAAUGGACUUUUGUUCAUUCAACCAUCCCAAACAAUGCAAAGUACCGCCAACACUGUCCGUCAAUACAGAAGCUCUAUUAAACCAAGUACCGGAACAUUUAUGACAUGUUAUUUGUGUUUUGCUUCAACGUGCAGGUUAGAAGGAUACAACUGAACAACAAACCCUGCAACUUCUUGAACAAAUCACUCACACAAAAGGCAGAGCAACAACCUUAGAUCAACAGCUUAUUAACUAUAUCGCUGAGGACUCCACAAAGCGUAGCCCUAGGAGGACGUAUAACGUCAACAAGACUCAAUAAGUUGGACAUUAAUCAUUGAUCUAAACUGGAUGAUAGAAACAAAAAACACAUGCGGUGAGAUCAAUGAUCUCAAAAGCAACUUAGCCCAGACCCAAGCCGACCUCCGAAUGAUCCCAGUCCCAUUUCCAUCGAGCUACCAGCUCGGCUCAUGAAGUAAACAAAGUCAUAUAAGAAACGCAUAGGACUCCAUUCAUAGUUCGUAUCACCAGAAAUUAUAUCAAAACAUCAAACUCAAGAUUCCCCCAUAUGAUGGAAAGACAGGUCCCAGGCUCACAUGACCGCCUACACAUAGCAAUACGGCGAACUCGCUUCAACGAUAGAGAACAAGAUGUCAGUUACUGCCACCUUUGUGUUGAGAAUAUGGCAUGAGCAGGUCUCAACUGGUUUUUGAUAUGCUAAAAUUAACCCUAACCAACUUUCUCAAAUAAGAGUCUCAUCGUACUAAUUGAGGAUCAAAUCCACAAAGACUCAAUGUUUCACACAAUACAUUUAAUUUCGGAUUAAGCUAGGCCGAAAAAAGAAAACAAUAAACAAAGCAAUAGAUCUAAACGGUUGUAUGUUAGCAAGAAAAAGCACAAGACUCAAGGAUUUAUCAAUCAAGAGAUUCAAAACGUAAAUCACUAGAUGCCAAGGGUUUUAUAUGGUUCAAUUCCAUAACUCAAAUAUUAAUAAUAAGUUAUCCAAUUCUCAUUGCGACAAAAUAUCAAAUGCCUAACUUUAAUCAAAUGCCAACUCUCGUUCUGGAUAUGAUGAAUCAAAUAAGCAUUCGAAAUAUUAGAAUAUGUUUAACUAAAUUCUUAGACCAACUUUUGGUGCAAAUAAAAUCUAGUCCAUCAGGAUUAUGUUCAGGUAUUGAUUACACUCUUGUGUUUCAAAAUGACCAUAUGAUUUUUGGUUCUUGAUACCAGCUCAAAUUAUCCCAUAGCCAACUUUUACUCUCUUAAAUAAGAGAUUCAACUAUAGUACAUGGGGAUCGAAUUCACAGGGAGCGUGGGCAUACAGUAAAUCAGAUUAAAUGUAUAAUCAAGUUAGCAAAAGAAUAUAUUAAAAUAGUAAAUGAUUAAUAAGACAGUAAAUAAGAUAGAUGUGGUUUGCAAACAGAUAAGACAUAAGCUAUACUUUCAGGUUUAGGUAAUCCAAAUUAUGAUUUGAAUGUUAAAAACAUGUGAUAAUCAAUCCUAGAAAUCGAAUGAAAAUAUAAGACUCCAGCUCUCACUGUGAGUCUACAUGUUUGAACAUGUAACACAUUUUUUUAUGCGAUACGAAACGAGUGUCGAUGGAUACACCAAUAGGGUGUCGAUCGAUACACCUAUAGGGUGUCGUUCGAUACGCUUCCAAACAUGCAUUAAUGAUCGGAUCGAUAAGUUCACUAAGUCGACAAUAAACCAGCGCUGUGCCUAAUAACUUAGCUCAAGAUAAUUAUAUUCAUGUAUGAAUCUACUCUCACAGUUGUCAAUCCUAAGAUCAAAAUUCUAGUUAGCUACUCUAGAAUGUAGGAAAUAAGAUCUAACUCGGUGAAGGAUUUCCAUUAAUAACCUUAGCAUUACUAAAUCAAUAAUUCAUCAUAACCUUAUUAAACCCUAAGUCUAACAAGAAUUCUACUCAGACAUAAUCAAGCAGGACACAAAAAUAAACAGAAUGAAUUGCGUAAUUAGAUUGGAAA